CCUACGGGAGGCAGCAGUGAGGAAUAUUGGUCAAUGGGCGAGAGCCUGAGCCAGCCAAGUCGCGUGAAGGAAGAAGGUUCUAUGGAUUGUAAACUUCUUUUGUAAGGGAAUAAAAAAGAGUACGCGUACUCUACUGUAUGUACUUUACGUAUAAGGAUCGGCUAACUCCGUGCCAGCAGCCGCGGUAAU
This 189-nucleotide ribosomal RNA is filed under the name uncultured bacterium. Its description in RNAcentral is "partial 16S ribosomal RNA". It matches the Rfam family "Bacterial small subunit ribosomal RNA", at positions 338 to 524 of the family's 1533-position model. The record is from RNAcentral.